Molecule: long non-coding RNA, 983 nt
Filed under: Triticum aestivum (bread wheat)
Lineage: Eukaryota; Viridiplantae; Streptophyta; Magnoliopsida; Poales; Poaceae
Description: long non-coding RNA (TAES_LNC018169)
Source: RNAcentral
ACCUGUUACAGAAAGAAAAUAGUUCAAAUCCUUGAUUUCCAGUAGUGUUGGGCGUCAUUAAAGAAAAACAUAUUUCAUCCAUUUGAAACACAUCUUUGCUAUUUAACUAAAUGAUCAAAUUCCAAUUCCGCACAAGGUUUGAGAUAUGAUAAUAUGAAGCAGACGUGUUACCACUUUUCUAAUAGUUAUGGAUGAAUUAGUUUAAUGUCAUGCACUCUCGCGUAUAGGAUUAAACAUAGAUUGGAAAGUAUCAGUAUACUCAAGAUUGCUCCCUCCAUCCAUUUCUCUGACAAGUAUUUCCGGACAGAGGGAGUACAUAAAUGUGAUAUCCAGUGGCAACUAAGUAUCCCAUUUAGGUUGGUAAGCCCAUAGUGCUGCCUUAAGAACUCCAAUCACCCAUUGGCCAAUUUCUUAGCACAGUUAACUAACUCAUGACUAGAACAUUCCAGUAGUGUUGGGCAUCAUUAAAGAAAAACAAUAUUUCAUCCAUUUGAAACACAUCUUUGCUAUUUAACUAAAUGAUCAAUUUCCAAUUCCGCACAAGGUUUGAGAUAUGAUCAUAUGAAGCAGACGUGUUACCACUUUUCUAAUAGUUAUGGAUGAAUUAGUUUAAUGUCAUGCACUCUCGCGUAUAGGAUUAAACAUAGAUUGAAAAGUAUCAGUAUACUCAAGAUUGUUCCCUCCGUCCAUUUCUCCGACAAGUAUUUCUGGACAGAGGGAGUACAUAAAUGUGAUAUCCAGUGGCAACUAAGUAUCCCAUUUAGGUUGGUAAGCCCAUAGUGCUGCCUUAAGAACUCCAAUCACCCAUUGGCCAAUUUCUUAGCACAGUUAACUAACUCAAGACUAGAACAUUCCUACUCCAUAACCACCACUUACUACAUUAACGAUUAACCCAAUCAACACCUAAUUGCAAAUGCAACAUCCGCACAGAAUACUGCACACCGAAGAAGCUGAGACGGCAAGAGCAGCUGGAUCCAAACCUG